RNAcentral lists this long non-coding RNA (273 nucleotides) under Manihot esculenta (cassava). Its description in RNAcentral is "long non-coding RNA (MESC_LNC013126)". The record is from RNAcentral. Lineage: Eukaryota; Viridiplantae; Streptophyta; Magnoliopsida; Malpighiales; Euphorbiaceae.
GCUAGACUCCGGUAUCGGAAUCCCUACCGUCCGGUGGGACCUCGGAUGUCGGAAACCUCUAGAAGGGUAAAACUAUGAUUUUAUGAAAUGUUUUCAUGUAUUUCAUGUUUUUAAGUAAGAAUUAAAUGAGUUUUUGCAUGAAAAAUCUUUGGAGGAAAACCCAGGUUCGGCCGCCGAACUUUGAAGUUCGGCCGCCGAACAUGCAUGCUUUCGGAGGGACUUUAGGCGCCCGAAAAUUUGGAGUGAGGGAAAUGCAGGUUCGGCCGCCGAACU